CGGGAUAUAGCUCAGUUUGGUAGAGUGUCUGCUUUGGGAGCAGAAUGUCGUUGGUUCAAGUCCAGCUAUCCCGA
RNAcentral lists this transfer RNA (74 nucleotides) under Enterobacter phage EcP1. It matches the Rfam family "tRNA". From Rfam's summary of the family: Transfer RNA (tRNA) molecules are approximately 80 nucleotides in length. Their secondary structure includes four short double-helical elements and three loops (D, anti-codon, and T loops). Lineage: Duplodnaviria; Heunggongvirae; Uroviricota; Caudoviricetes; Schitoviridae. The record is from Rfam by way of RNAcentral.